AUUGAACGCUGGCGGAAUGCUUUACACAUGCAAGUCGAACGGCAGCACGGACUUCGGUCUGGUGGCGAGUGGCGAACGGGUGAGUAAUGUAUCGGAACGUGCCCAGUCGUGGGGGAUAACGUAGUGAAAAUUACGCUAAUACCGCAUACGAUCUAUGGAUGAAAGCGGAGGAUCGCAAGACCUCGCGCGAUUGGAGCGGCCGAUAUCAGAUUAGGUAGUUGGUGGGGUAAAGGCCCACCAAGCCAACGAUCUGUAGCUGGUCUGAGAGGACGACCAGCCACACUGGAACUGAGACACGGUCCAGACUCCUACGGGAGGCAGCAGUGGGGAAUUUUGGACAAUGGGCGAAAGCCUGAUCCAGCCAUUCCGCGUGCAGGAUGAAGGCCCUCGGGUUGUAAACUGCUCUUGUACAGAACGAAAAGGUUUCUACUAAUACUAGGAGCUCAUGACGGUACUGUAAGAAUAAGCACCGGCUAACUACGUGCCAGCAGCCGCCGUAA
This 500-nucleotide ribosomal RNA is filed under the name uncultured bacterium. RNAcentral describes it as "partial 16S ribosomal RNA". It matches the Rfam family "Bacterial small subunit ribosomal RNA", at positions 30 to 523 of the family's 1533-position model. The record is from RNAcentral.